RNAcentral lists this long non-coding RNA (1530 nucleotides) under Salmo trutta (river trout). RNAcentral's name for it is "lncRNA (ENSSTUG00000005800.1)". The record is from RNAcentral. Lineage: Eukaryota; Metazoa; Chordata; Actinopteri; Salmoniformes; Salmonidae.
AUGACUUGGAGAACUUCCCUAACCCACACUGGGAGACCUCCCCUAACCCACACUGGGAGACCUCCCCUAACCCACGCUGGGAGACCUCCCCUAACCCACGCUGGGAGACCUCCCCUAACCCACGCUGGCAGACCUCUAACCCACGAUGGGAGAUCUCUCCUAACCCACGCUGGGAGCUCUCCCCUAACCCACGCUGGGAGACCUCUAACCCACGCUGGGAGACCUCUAACCCACGCUAAGAGACCUCCCCUAACCCACGCUGGGAGACCUCUAACCCACGCUGGGAGACCUCUAACCCACGCUGGGAGACCUCCCCUAACCCACGCUGGGAGACCUCCCCUAACCCACGCUGGGAGACCUCCCCUAACCCACGCUGGGAAACCUCCCCUAACCCACGCUGGGAGACCUCCCCUAACCCACGCUGGGAGACCUCCUCUAACCCACGCUGGGAGAUCUCCCCUAACCCACGCUGGGAGAUCUCCCCUAACCCACGCUGGGAGUCCUCCCCUAACCCACGCUGGGAGUCCUCCCCUAACCCACGCUGGGAGACCUCCUCUAACCCACGCUGGGAGACCUCUAACCCACGCUGGGAGAUCUCCCCUAACCCACGCUGGGAGAUCUCCCCUAACCCACGCUGGGAGUCCUCCCCUAACCCACGCUGGGAGACCUCCCCUAACCCACGCUGGGAGACCUCCCCUAACCCACGCUGGGAGACCUCCCCUAACCCACGCUGGGAGACCUCUAACCCACGCUGGGAGACCUCCCCUAACCCAUGCUGGGAGACCUCCCCUAACCCACGCUGGGAGACCUCUAACCCACGCUGGGAGACCUCCCCUAACCCACGCUGGGAGACCUCCCCUAACCCACGCUGGGAGACCUCCCCUAACCCACGCUGGGAGACCUCCCCUAACCCACGCUGGUAGAUCUCCCCUAACCCACGCUGGUAGAUCUCCCCUAACCCACGCUGGGAGACCUCCCCUAACCCACGCUGGGAGACCUCCCCUAACCCACGCUGGGAGACCUCCCCUAACCCACGCUGGGAGACCUCCCCUAACCCACGCUGGGAGACCUCCCCUAACCCACGCUGGGAGACCUCCCCUAACCCACGCUGGGAGACCUCUAACCCACGCUGGGAGUCCUCCCCUAACCCACACUGGGAGACCUCCCCUAACCCACGCUGGGAGUCCUCCUCUAACCCACGCUGGGAGACCUCCCCUAACCCACGCUGGGAGACCUCUAACCCACGCUGGGAGACCUCCUCUAACCCACGCUGGGAGUCCUCCUCUAACCCACGCUGGGAGACCUCCCCUAACCCACGCUGGGAGAUCUCUAACCCACGCUGGGAGAUCUCCCCUAACCCACGCUGGGAGAUCUCCCCUAACCCACGCUGGGAGAUCUCUAACCCACGCUGGGAGAUCUCCCCUAACCCACGCUGGGAGACCUCCCUUAACCCAUGCUGGGAGAUCUCCUCUAACCCUAACCCACAUUGGUAGGGAGAUGUGUGCUGCAGGCCACAGACGUACCUGCUAG